RNAcentral lists this ribosomal RNA (220 nucleotides) under uncultured bacterium. RNAcentral describes it as "partial 16S ribosomal RNA". It matches the Rfam family "Bacterial small subunit ribosomal RNA", at positions 116 to 334 of the family's 1533-position model. The record is from RNAcentral.
CGUAUGCAACCUACCUUUAACUGAGGGAUAGCCCAUAGAAAUGUGGAUUAAUACCUCAUAGUUUUGAUUGGCCGCAUGGCACAGAUCAAAUAAAGCUCCGGCGGUUAAAGAUGGGCAUGCGUGACAUUAGCUAGUUGGUAAGGUAACGGCUUACCAAGGCUACGAUGUCUAGGGGUUCUGAGAGGAUGAUCCCCCACACUGGUACUGAGACACGGACCAG